GACGAACGCUGGCGGCGUGCUUAACACAUGCAAGUCGAACGGUAAGGCCCUUCGGGGUACACGAGUGGCGAACGGGUGAGUAACACGUGGGUGAUCUGCCCUGCACUUCGGGAUAAGCCUGGGAAACUGGGUCUAAUACCGGAUAGGACCACUGCCUGCAUGGGUGGUGGUGGAAAGCUUUUGCGGUGUGGGAUGGGCCCGCGGCCUAUCAGCUUGUUGGUGGGGUGAUGGCCUACCAAGGCGACGACGGGUAGCCGGCCUGAGAGGGUGACCGGCCACACUGGGACUGAGAUACGGCCCAGACUCCUACGGGAGGCAGCAGUGGGGAAUAUUGCACAAUGGGCGCAAUCCUGAUGCAGCGACGCCGCGUGAGGGAUGACGGCCUUCGGGUUGUAAACCUCUUUCAGCACCGACGAAGCGCAAGCGACGGUAGGUGCAGAAGAAGGACCGGCCAACUACGUGCCAGCCGCCGCGGUAA
Molecule: ribosomal RNA, 478 nt
Filed under: uncultured bacterium
Lineage: Bacteria
Description: partial 16S ribosomal RNA
Rfam family: Bacterial small subunit ribosomal RNA
Source: RNAcentral